Molecule: ribosomal RNA, 446 nt
Filed under: uncultured bacterium
Lineage: Bacteria
Description: partial 16S ribosomal RNA
Rfam family: Bacterial small subunit ribosomal RNA
Source: RNAcentral
CCCAGACUCCUACGGGAGGCAGCAGUGGGGGAUAUUGCACAAUGGGGGGAACCCUGAUGCAGCGACGCCGCGUGGGUGAAGGAGCGUUUCGGCGCGUAAAGCCCUAUCGGCAGGGAAGAAGGAGGACGGUACCUGACUAAGAAGCCCCGGCUAACUACGUGCCAGCAGCCGCGGUAAUACGUAGGGGGCAAGCGUUAUCCGGAUUUACUGGGUGUAAAGGGGGCGCAGACGGCAGCGCAAGCCAGGAGUGAAAGCCCGGGGCCAAACCCCGGGACUGCUCUUGGAACUGCGCGGCUGGAGUGCAGGAGGGGCAGGCGGAAUUCCUGGUGUAGCGGUGAAAUGCGUAGAUAUCAGGAGGAACACCGGUGGCGAAGGCGGCCUGCUGGACUGCGACUGACGUUGAGGCCCGAAAGCGUGGGGAGCAAACAGGAUUAGAUACCCUUGUA